GAUGAACGCUGGCGGCGUGCCUAAUACAUGCAAGUCGAGCGAACGGACGGGAAGCUUGCUUCUCUGAUGUUAGCGGCGGACGGGUGAGUAACACGUGGAUAACCUACCUAUAAGACUGGGAUAACUUCGGGAAACCUGAGCUAAUACCGGAUAAUAUUUUGAACCGCAUGGUUCAAAAGUGAAAGACGGUCUUGCUGUCACUUAUAGAUGGAUCCGCGCUGCAUUAGCUAGUUGGUAAGGUAACGGCUUACCAAGGCAACGAUGCAUAGCCGACCUGAGAGGGUGAUCGGCCACACUGGAACUGAGACACGGUCCAGACUCCUACGGGAGGCAGCAGUAGGGAAUCUUCCGCAAUGGGCGAAAGCCUGACGGAGCAACGCCGCGUGAGUGAUGAAGGUCUUCGGAUCGUAAAACUCUGUUAUUAGGGAAGAACAUAUGUGUAAGUAACUGUGCACAUCUUGACGGUACCUAAUCAGAAAGCCACGGCUAACUACGUG
Molecule: ribosomal RNA, 497 nt
Filed under: uncultured bacterium
Lineage: Bacteria
Description: partial 16S ribosomal RNA
Rfam family: Bacterial small subunit ribosomal RNA
Source: RNAcentral